Molecule: ribosomal RNA, 111 nt
Filed under: Caerostris darwini
Lineage: Eukaryota; Metazoa; Arthropoda; Arachnida; Araneae; Araneidae
Source: RNAcentral
AACGGUCAUACCAUGCUGAAUAUACCGGUUCUCGUUAGAUCACCGAAGUCAAGUAUCGUUGGGCGCGGUCAGUACUUGGGUGGGUGACCACCUGGGAACACCGAGUGCCGU